ACAGAGGUCUCAAGCGUUGUUCGGAUUUAUUGGGCGUAAAGGGUGCGCAGGCCGCAUGGUAAGUUUGGUGUGAAAUCCUGGGGCUUAACCCCAGAAUUGCACUGAAUACUGCCGUGCUAGAGGACUGGAGAGGAGAUUGGAAUUCACGGUGUAGCAGUGAAAUGCGUAGAUAUCGUGAGGAAGACCAGUGGCGAAGGCGAAUCUCUGGACAGUUCCUGACGCUCAUGCACGAAGGCCAGGGGAGCAAACGGGA
Molecule: ribosomal RNA, 253 nt
Filed under: uncultured prokaryote
Description: partial 16S ribosomal RNA
Rfam family: Bacterial small subunit ribosomal RNA
Source: RNAcentral